RNAcentral lists this ribosomal RNA (401 nucleotides) under uncultured bacterium. RNAcentral describes it as "bacterial SSU rRNA". It matches the Rfam family "Bacterial small subunit ribosomal RNA", at positions 29 to 418 of the family's 1533-position model. The record is from RNAcentral.
AACGAACGCUGGCGGCGCGCCUAAUACAUGCAAGUCGAGCGAGAAGACGUAGCAAUACGUUUGUAAAGCGGCGAACGGGUGAGGAAUACAUGGGUAACCUACCCUCGAGUGGGGAAUAACUAGCCGAAAGGUUAGCUAAUACCGCGUACGCUCCUUGGACUUCGGUUCAGGGAGGAAAGCGAUAUCGUGGGUAUCGCGCUCUUGGAUGGGCUCAUGUCCUAUCAGCUUGUUGGNGAGGUAACGGCUCACCAAGGCUUCGACGGGUAGCUGGUCUGAGAGGACGAUCAGCCACACUGGCACUGCGACACGGGCCAGACUCCUACGGGAGGCAGCAGUAAGGAAUAUUGCGCAAUGGGCGAAAGCCUGACGCAGCGACGCCGCGUGGGGGGAGUGAAGGGUAC